CAGCUCCAGUCUCCCUGUUGCUUUGGUAACCCACCCCCCUUUCCUCACAUCACUACUGCUGGGGUAUUUUGCUGCCAAGAUAAUGGUCUCUAUUAUGGAUUGAAUGUUAAUGGGCAGUCCUUUCCCCCAGACUACACCCAGCCCCUUCUGCAGCUCCACAUUUGAAGGCCUUGUCUAAGUGGCAUCUCAAUGAGAUGGUAAUAGAUACUUGAAUCAGCUGGAGAGGAGCUGUAGUGAUGGGGGUGGGAGGGGAUAGAAGAAGCAUUCAGCUUCUAAUCUUGAAAAGGGAGGACUGGGAGCUUGGAGAGGCAAAAAUGAGGAAAUCAUCCAUUAGAGUGCCUCAGCUGUGUAUGAAGUCCUAAAGCCAUUUCUUCCAGUCAAUAAAAGGGCAUGGAAGUCAUCCAACAGCUGCUGGAGGGACUGUGCAGAGUUACGACGGAGACAGUGACUCCUCCAAAGGGGUCUCGAGGGCAUCAAAAUAUCCUGGAAAGAGUACACCAACUUGGAGCGUUCCAGCUGCAGCUCAAUCCUCACCUUGCUGUGUGAACUUGGAGUAGACACUUUCCCUCCUGCAUGAUGAAUGAAUG
Molecule: long non-coding RNA, 587 nt
Organism: Pan troglodytes (chimpanzee)
Lineage: Eukaryota; Metazoa; Chordata; Mammalia; Primates; Hominidae
Exons: 3
Source: RefSeq, a predicted model, not a curated record